This 406-nucleotide ribosomal RNA is filed under the name uncultured bacterium. RNAcentral describes it as "partial 16S ribosomal RNA". It matches the Rfam family "Bacterial small subunit ribosomal RNA", at positions 30 to 526 of the family's 1533-position model. The record is from RNAcentral.
AUUGAACGCUGGCGGCAUGCCUAACACAUGCAAGUCGAACGAGUGGCGGACGGGUGAGUAAUGUCUGGGAAACUGCCCGAUGGCGGGGGAUAACUACUGGAAACGGUAGCUAAUACCGCAUACCAUCGGAUGUGCCCAGAUGGGAUUAGCUAGUAGGUGGGGUAACGGCUCACCUAGGCGACGAUCCCUAGCUGGUCUGAGAGGAGGACAAGCCACACUGGAACUGAGAAAGGGCCCAGACUCCUAGGGGAGGAAGCAGUGGGGAAUAUUGGACAAUGGGCGAAAGCCUGAUGCAGCCAUGCCGCGUGUAUGAAGAAGGCCUUCGGGUUGAAAAGUACUUUCAGCGAGGAGGCGUUACUCGCAGAAGAAGCACCGGCUAACUCCGUGCCAGCAGCCGCGGUAAUUC